ACGUACACUCCUACGGGAGGCAGCAGUGAGGAAUAUUGGACAAUGGGUGGAAGCCUGAUCCAGCCAUCCCGCGUGCAGGAAGACGGCCCUAUGGGUUGUAAACUGCUUUUAUCUGGGGAUAAACCUACUUACGUGUAAGUAGCUGAAGGUACCAGAAGAAUAAGCACCGGCUAACUCCGUGCCAGCAGCCGCGGUAAUACGGAGGGUGCAAGCGUUAUCCGGAUUUAUUGGGUUUAAAGGGUCCGUAGGCGGACUGAUAAGUCAGUGGUGAAAUCCGACAGCUUAACUGUCGAACUGCCAUUGAUACUGUUAGUCUUGAGUAAGGUUGAAGUGGCUGGAAUAAGUAGUGUAGCGGUGAAAUGCAUAGAUAUUACUUAGAACACCAAUUGCGAAGGCAGGUCACUAAGUCUUAACUGACGCUGAUGGACGAAAGCGUGGGGAGCGAACAGGAUUAGAAACCCUGGUAGUCCC
This 471-nucleotide ribosomal RNA is filed under the name uncultured organism. Its description in RNAcentral is "partial 16S ribosomal RNA". It matches the Rfam family "Bacterial small subunit ribosomal RNA", at positions 329 to 797 of the family's 1533-position model. The record is from RNAcentral.